This 547-nucleotide long non-coding RNA is filed under the name Ictidomys tridecemlineatus (thirteen-lined ground squirrel). RNAcentral describes it as "lncRNA (ENSSTOG00000031183.1)". The record is from RNAcentral. Lineage: Eukaryota; Metazoa; Chordata; Mammalia; Rodentia; Sciuridae.
AAGUGCCCCGGAUAGCUCUGAUCAAUUGUGACCCAGCAAUCCCCCGUCUGGGUACGAACCCGGGAGAACUGGCCUGCCGAGCGAGCCGCACUCACAGGGCCGCAUUCACAAAGCCAAGAAGGAGAAGCGGCUCGUGUGUGGGCGGAGACUGGACAGGCUGGCGACAGGGUGUGGUCCCUGCACCGUGGGCCGCUCCUCCUCGGGCUGAGGCAGGAAGGGCCGCCACUCAGGUGGGCCUGGAAGACAUGCGGUGAAUGAAGAGGACCUUGGGGACCUGUGAGGGACAGCAGAGACGGUUGGAACAGGCAGAGGGAGGACAUGAGGCCAUCACUGUGAACCUCCAGCCAGGACUCACUGAAUCCUGCCCAGCUCACCAGGGUGGGAGCAUCCAGAGAGCCUCAGGAGGAGGCCAAGCCUGGGGCCAGGGGCCGCCCAGUCCCUUCAGCUUCCUUGGAUGGACUUUGCAUGCCAGCUGACCAUGUGGCCACAGCUCAUGACUGAGGGACACUUGCUGACCACUGACCCAGAGUUCACCAAUCUCCCUGCU